UUUCUUUCUUCUCUUGCUCUCUCUUUCUCUCUCUCUUCAUCCUUCUCUUUGCUGCUGCUGAAUCAAGAUCGAAGCAUUACACUCUAAUCCUCACCCAAACCGCUUCUCUCACUUCAGAAUUUAGAGGGAGAGAGGGGGAGAAAGACGCUGCUAUGUUCUGAUUCUUCUGCCAUAGCUCAAAACCUUAUCUCCAUUUCCACCUUCCAUAGCCACGAACCUUUACCCCUUCCUUGCUUUCACCUCUUCUAUCCUUAUCACCGAGAAAACUUUGCCUUAUGGCUCACCAACAAGGUAGAUGGCAAGCUAGAAUUGGCCAUGCUACAAGGAAGAAGGAUCUGUACCUUAGAACAUUUGGGCAAUUCUUCAAAUUGGAACAAGGUAUCAAGAAAUUCUUUGAGGACUAUGGUUAGAUCAGGAAAUGCAUUUCAAUUUGAUGGGUGAUA
This is a long non-coding RNA of Neltuma alba, 443 nucleotides long. RefSeq lists it as uncharacterized. The record is from RefSeq and is a predicted model, not a curated record. NCBI's taxonomy places the organism in Eukaryota, Viridiplantae, Streptophyta, Magnoliopsida, Fabales, Fabaceae. The transcript is spliced from 3 exons.